UUUCAAUAUAUUAUAGGAAAGUUCUGAGGGAAACAGCUUCCGGAGAAAGAGAUUCCGAAAGGGUAAAGCUCAGAUUAGAAGUUAAGGUUGAGACAAUGGAGUAUGAUAAAGAAGGGUCUGCUUUACGUAUUCGGGGAAAGAAUGUUCUGGAGAAUGAAUAUGUCAAGAUAGGUGCAUUCCACACGCUGGAAAUUGAGCCACAUCGACCUUUUGUCUUAAGGAAGGAAGUCUGGGACUCACU
Long non-coding RNA from Coffea arabica (coffee), 241 nucleotides. RefSeq lists it as uncharacterized. Lineage: Eukaryota; Viridiplantae; Streptophyta; Magnoliopsida; Gentianales; Rubiaceae. The record is from RefSeq and is a predicted model, not a curated record.